This 253-nucleotide ribosomal RNA is filed under the name uncultured bacterium. RNAcentral's name for it is "partial 16S ribosomal RNA". It matches the Rfam family "Bacterial small subunit ribosomal RNA", at positions 524 to 776 of the family's 1533-position model. The record is from RNAcentral.
UACGUAGGGUGCAAGCGUUGUCCGGAAUUAUUGGGCGUAAAGAGCUCGUAGGCGGUUUGUCGCGUCUGCUGUGAAAACUCAGGGCUUAACCCUGAGCCUGCAGUGGGUACGGGCAGACUAGAGUGUGGUAGGGGAGAUCGGAAUUCCUGGUGUAGCGGUGGAAUGCGCAGAUAUCAGGAGGAACACCGGUGGCGAAGGCGGAUCUCUGGGCCAUAACUGACGCUGAUGCACGAAAGCUAGGGGAGCAAACAGG